ACCUCCUUCCAAAUUUGCUGCACCACCUUCCAAACCUGCUGCACCACCUUCCAAACCCGCUGCACCACCUUCCAAACCCGCUGCACCACCUGCCAAGGAGGUGAGAGGGACGAGCACAAAGACGCAAAAGACGACCUCCAAUGAUGCAUAGAGGUGAUCCAUGCUUGAUGAUGUGGGAAUUACUGCAAUGCACUUCUCGCAUAGCCGUGUUGUAAAAUCAACCGUGCUUAGGAAAAUAUAAUUUAUUUUUUUAAACACUUUACCUGAUUAUACAUAGUAGCAGCGAUUGUAUUUGAAGUUCUUAAUCGGUUCCCGCAUGGUGACACUCGUUUUUCACCAUCCGCAGACUGGUUUUGUCUACAUUGAUUCCCAUGUCGUUUUCACUUACAUUAUCUGACUACUAUCUGAAGUCCUUUUCCAAUGUCAAGGUCCGUGUCCCACUAACCACUGCCCGUGGGAAGUCGCCUAGUGGAGCCAUGAUAAAAACCACUGCCAGUUCUUUUUCUCCCAAUGUACAAGCCAGUACUGAGUCUUAAAACUGAGUUUGUCGCCUUUCUUUUUUAUGUGCAUUUUACUAUCUUCACGUAGAUUCAUCACUAUUCUGUUUGUGAUGACAGCCCG
RNAcentral lists this long non-coding RNA (621 nucleotides) under Physcomitrium patens. RNAcentral describes it as "long non-coding RNA (PPAT_LNC004374)". The record is from RNAcentral. Lineage: Eukaryota; Viridiplantae; Streptophyta; Bryopsida; Funariales; Funariaceae.